This is a long non-coding RNA of Brassica rapa (field mustard), 14126 nucleotides long. RefSeq lists it as uncharacterized. NCBI's taxonomy places the organism in Eukaryota, Viridiplantae, Streptophyta, Magnoliopsida, Brassicales, Brassicaceae. The record is from RefSeq and is a predicted model, not a curated record.
UUCAUGAUUUCCGCAUAUAUUUGGUCACUUGUCGUUGGCUCUCGCAGAGAUCCGGGACCUCUAGGAAAUUAGGGUUUUCCUAGUUUCCCAAUUUAAACGGAAAUCGACAGUGCGAAUUUCGGUUCCCACAUCCACCACGCCCAAAUACGAUGAAAUCUCAAGAAAAUUUUCACACCAGGGAAGAGAUAGAUCAGCUGGUAGAAGGGAUCUAUAGAGCUCUGGAAAAUACAGAAGAAAGGCUUGAUGGGAGAUGUGAUGACAUCUAUUUCCCAAUGGAUCUUGACAUUAGUGCUUUGACUUCCAAGAUUGAAGCUAUACAAGGAGUAUUGGUGGAGAUUCAGAGUUACAUUGCCCGUCGACCAGAAGCAUCGUCAUCGAUCGACACACAAAACAACAAAUCGACCGACAUUCAUCAUCGAACAUCGGUCGACGACGCUACAAACCGAGCCCGGCUAGUACCAAAGAUAACAUCAGACAUGUCCGACACACAUUACCAUGGAGAGGAGAUCUCAGCUAACACUUACGCCACACUUAGAAGACAUCAGUUCAACCUUGAGAGUCUUGAAGAAAGAUUACAGAGGAUGGAAAACACAACAGCAACAAUGAAGGAAAAAUGGCGUACAUGGUUCGACAAGCGCAAAGAAGAGAUGGAUACUUGUUUUCCAACAAGUUCUAGCUUUCAACACUACUAGCCCAAUCACCUCCAAAGUCAAGCUAAAUGACUAUAAUAAAGCGCUGAGCGGGAGGCAACCCAUGACUAGGUUAUAUUUAUUUAGUUUUUAUUGAUAUACUAUUUAUGUUGGUUUUUAAUUAUUGCAGGUCAUAAAAAUAAAAAAAAAAGUAAAAAAAAAGAGCUCUGAGUAAACGAUUGCCGUGAGUAUCGAUCGUCGAGAAGUUGUCGACAUCGAUCGACAUUGUCUAACCUGUCGCGACCGAUAUCAACAUCCCUACAUCGGUCGACAUCCAUUCCGGUCUGGUAUAUCGUUCUAACUUGUUACAUUGAGUCCUUAUGAUUUAGUUAUCACCAUAACUCCGACUAAAUUUACACUUGGAAAAGUGUAGUUUAAGUAUAGGGGAAGGUUUAGUGAUAGUAAUUUAUUUAUGAAUUUUAUUGAAAUGUUUUUCAAAAAGUUUUAUUGACUUAAGUAGGGGAUAAUGAACUUAUAGAUUUUUGCUUGUUAUCUAACCACUCUUUAGCACCAUUCUAGACUUACUGAUUGCAGAUAGUACUAAAGAUACUAAAGUGGAUCAACCUGUCAACUAUCCACACUUGCUGAGAUUGUUUGAGGAAACCAAAGCUGACCUCCAACACUAAACUUGACACAACUGCUUGUCUUGGGGCUUGGUAUGCAUGGAUCGGAUUCUUCAAACAAGUCUUGAAAGUAAAGCAUUGUGUAGAUAGAUUAAUCACCCUUUCUCUCUCUAUUUCGAAAUUAUAGAUAGAUAAAUAUAUAUAUAUAUAUAUAUAUAUAUAUAAUAAUAUAUAUAUCUAUUAGAGAUUUAUUAGGAAGGAAUUCGAACAGAAUUUGGCGGCUACAACUAUUAAGUAAGAAUUCUAUAGGUAAAGGAUUAGAACAGGACUUGGUGGUUACAACCAUUGAGGCUUGCUUCACAAAUAAUCCUAGGAUAUAGGUAACAAAGAAGUGAACAGGACUUGGUGGUAACCACCAUUAAGGCUUGAUUCAUGGAAGCAUGUUCAAUCUUGGUCAAUGAUCUUGCUAAAUAAGCAGAUUUUGACUAAGAGAGAAAAUUACUAGAGAGAGAGGAUAAGAACUAAUGUUUACAUGCAGGUCCAGAUAUUUGUUUGAAAAUCCUUGCAUCAUGUGAUCGAUACCCCCAAGGUAAAGCCUAUACUUUUAUUUAUGCAAAGAAAUGUGGUUGGUAGAGGGGAAUGUCAGACAAGUUUUGCUAAGUUGUUGGCUAGAUGAAUUUGGUUGCUAAGGUAGGAUGUUGUAUAAUGUGCUUUUGUGAUUAUGACUUUUUAGAUGUGGAUUGCAAUAUUGUAGAGGUUAUGAUUCUAAGUUUUAAAUCAUGUGAGUCUCUGCUGUUUUAAAACCUCUUUCAGAGAAACUGCCUAUUUGUUUUGCUUGAGGACAAAAAAAAUGGUAAGUCUGGGAGAGUUGAUAGACCAUGGUUUAUAGAUGUUUUUACUAAUACUUAUUAUAUUAGUCUAUUUAUUAUAUUUAUAAGAUCAGAAGUGAUUUCGAGACAAGUGAUGAUUUUGGAGCAUUUUGGAGAUAUUUGGAGCAAUCACCCGAGAUGACCAUCGAGCUCGACCAUCAGUCGAUAUUGGAGAGGAUUAAUCGAUCGAUGUUCAUAUCUUGACAUCGAUCGUCAGCGAAGCGCGCAGAAAACCCGUUUGAUCACAGCCAACUUGAAGCCCAAGUCCUCACCAAUUUACAAGAUUACCCCUGACGAGUUUUAACCUAACUACAUAAGCUUUGCCACCAUGUUAGAGGCAAAGUGUGAUUUUCUUGUUUUAUUAUUUUUACAGCAAGGUUUUCUAGGAUUUUGGUAGAUUGGGGAGAAGAUCCAAAGUAAUAAUUUGUUAUUGGAACUCCAUUAAUAUCUAUUUACUAUUCUAAUGAAGUUUCUUACCUAAUUGAUGUUAUGAAUUGCUUAGCCAUGUCUGAGUAGUUCCAUUGUUAGAUUUUAGGGUUUAAAUAAGUUAUGAGGGAUUAACCCCAACUAUAGAUUGCUCAGUUGUAGUAAUUAUCAUUAGGAUUGUUCAUUAUUGUUUGUCUCUAUAUUAGCUACCUAGAACUUGCCCUAGCAUUGAUAGAUAAAAGCGAGAGCUACAUUCUCAUCCUGAAAACAUUCUAAUUGAGCUAAGUUUCUUGAUAUGAGUAAGGCGAGAGCUGAUCUAGUGAGCUUAGUAAGCAUUCAUUCAACCCGCGCAUAAAGCUUAACUAGAAGCGCGUCGAUCGAUAUCAUUAUUGAAUAAUCGAUCGACGGAGCGAAGACACUUUCUAUUGAUCGACAUACGAUAGUUGAGAUCAUUAGAUCUAGUUAAUAGACAAGUCCAAACAUUGUGAAUGCUGAUGGACUUGUUAACUAAGUAGUUGAGCUUUACAUUAUCAUGCAUGCAACUCAUUAGGCAUUUGUAGGAUUAUAACCCCAAGUUUUUGAAUAAAAACCCUAAGUCUGACUAUUUUCUUUUUAAGCACCAAAACCUCAAUCAAUCUAUUGUACAAACACUUGUUCAAUAUAAAACUGUAAUUUACAUUUAAAUCUCUGCAACCAUCUAGCUUAACAAAUCAUAUUAGAUUUUUUAGGUUUCCUAGCUCCCUGUGAAUUCAGUCCCUAAGUACUACAACUCGACCUCUUAUUUGAGAGUAUAAAUCACUCCUUAGAGUAAUUUGAGUGGUAUCAUACAUUGGUGAGAGUGACCUCCAUGCCUGAAGUCAUCUUCAGCACAACUUUUCCAAUACCUUCGAUCUUGGACUGGGAGACGUUUUCCAUCUUCACUUGAUCAUCAAACUUACAUUUCUGAUAGGUAUUGAACAUCUCUCUGUCAAUACAGAUGUGUGUAGUGGCACAUGUGUCGUACCACCAUAUUUUUGGGUUUCCUUCAACUAUGUUAGCUUCUGUGACCACAGCACACAGAUCAGCUUAAGUCAAGUUGGCUUGAUUUUCCCCAUAGCCUUCCUGCGACACUCCACGGAUCUAUGUCCUAUCUUGCCACAGUAGUUACAUUCCACGGAUCACACACAAUACACAUCACACUCAGGUUUCACUCAAUAACCUUAACCAUCAAUUCUCAACUAUCAACUUAGCAUUCACUUCUUUCUAGCAUCCUAGCUUUAAUCACAAACCACUCAUGGGACUACACAUCCAAACAUACAAGUAUCAAUUACCAAUCAAUCAUCACCACAACAACACAAGACAGUUCAUUAAGUCCCAUUUAACAGUAUGAGGAUUCUUAUGCAUCAUGAUCCAUUCAUCUAUCAACCUAGUAAUAACCAUGUUCUAUCAUCCUAGCUCUCAAACAGGAUCUAAUCAAACCUAACUCCAACAUAGAGGAGUAUACAGUACGUGAGAACAAGAUGGGUUCAAGACACUCCACCUUAGCCUAGAUCUGGAUCUAGAAAUAAGGAUAAGAGAAGGUUGAGAUCCGGUCACCACCACCACCACACGGUGCCGGCAAGGAGAGAGAGAGAGUGCGGCGGCACGGAGGAGAGAGAGAGAAGAGAGAGAGACGGCGCAAGAGAGAAAGAGAGAGAGCUCGACGGCUAGGGUUUUCUGUCUCCGGGGAUUCUCUGCAGAGCUUUGAUUCAGUUUCUCACUCCGACAAAAAGGAGGGUUGCCUCUCUUUUUAUAGGAAGGGGGAAGGGAUACCCUAGGUCUUUGCCAAAUGGGCCGUAGAGAAGCCCAUUUUCUUAUGAAAAAUUUUGGGCCAUGAGCCGGGCCGUUACACUCACCCCUCCUAUUCCUUUCCCUUUUUAGGUGAGACUGACGAGCAGGAUUGAUUGCUAUCGGAUUGGUGCUUUGGAAAUUUUAUUUCUUUCUUUUUCAGACUUGCGGAUUUUAUGGUUUAUCAAUAUUUUCGGGAUUUAUUAUGUUAUCUGGAUUUAUGGUUAUUUAAUGGAUUUACGACUUUGGAGUUGACUUUUGAGAAGUAAUAAAUGAAGAUUUCAGACUUUAUAUUUAUUUAAGUUAUUUUGGAAAAUACGGGUGUUACAAUUUGGUAUCAGAGCGGGGUUCCGUCCCGGCUCUGACCCGGGAUGGCUAUUUGUUGGGACGUGGUUUCGACUCGGUUUUGCUCGGUUUUAAUUCGGCUUAAUCAGGUUUAAAGAUUUUUGAAUCUGGGGAUUUGGUCAUUUUAAGAAAAAGAAAAAUACAGCACCUUUCCGUUCAGAAACUUCUAACCCAAGUGUUUUUUUAUUGAUGAUGAGUUUAUCAUCGUCAUCCUUUCUCUAGCUAACAGGGUUUCAACCAGAUGUUCGGAAGAUGGAUGAUGCCACAGCUCGACAGAUUGCUCAGGUGUGUAUCAGUUUCGUCAGCCGUGUUCAGAGAUUGUCUGCAUGUGGAUAUGUGACAUUGUUGCCACCACCCUAACUUCAAGUCAUCGCUCCACGAGUUUUUGUUAUUGGAGAUUAUGUGGUAUGAGAUGUGAGCCAUGAGUUGGCAUGUGUUAUUCGUGUGUAUGAGUAUAUUUACUACCUUGGAGGCAUGGUUAUUUUGUAAACUCAUGGGGAUCGCUUUUGGAUUGGGGUGCGACAACUAGAGUUACACGAGUGAUGUAUUUGCUGUAAGAUCCCUUUUCUUAACAGCUUAUCGUCCAACACACAAAUCGGUUUCGGUACAUGUACAUCCCGCUCAAAACUAUCCCGUUCAACACUUAUGCUAUCCAAUACUCCCAAUCUCGAUCGUCUUACAAAGCCAUAACGCUAACAUGCGCUUGCCGUAUCCUCCAUAGCAAAACUGCCUGCUCCAAAGUCCCAAGGCCAUCUGUCUCUCCAUCAAUAGUAAUGGCACAAAAUCUGAGACCAGAAAAUGUCCCAGUAAACUCAUGAUACGUCGCUCAUGUGCCUACCCAAGGCAUUUGUCACCUGGUUGUCUUUACCAGAUGGUAUGCAAUAUCCAAACUGUAGCCUGCUAACAACUCAAUUCAACUGCACUGUCCAAGUAUAAGUUUUAAUGAAUGAAGAUAGAUUUCAGAAUCCAAUGAUCCUAGAGAAUCUGAACUUCCUUCCUGUACAAUUACAAUCUCCAAAACUAUAACGCAAAAACCACUGCAGCUACUACGAAUCAUUAAUAGGGUAGUAGGUCUCGUGAGGUCUCAACUGAUGCAAUGUAUAUGGAAUGACCUGAUUCUUAUGCAUCAAUACACAAUCCACAAAUGCUCAUCAUGCUCCCUCUACUCCAAAAAUAAAUCAAUGGGUUCGUCGAUGAGUACAAUCGCGCACUUGUCCAAGUGUUCGCGAAAGACAUCAUUCAUAAGCUUCUCAAAUGCUAUCGGUGCAUUCGUCGAUCCAAAAUGAUAUCACCAAAACUCAUAAUAUCCAUAACGUAUACGAAAACACACAUUCCGUACAUACUCCUCAACUAUAGCAAUCUGAUGAUGUCCUGAUGCCAAGACAACCUCCGAGAACCAUGAACCUCCCAUGCAGCUAAUUCAACAAGUCAUCAAUAUGAUGGUUACCAUGUUCAAGUCUAUGUAAUCGAUACAAAGCCUGAAACUACCAUCAUCUUUUUUUACAAACAACACUGGUGCUCCCCACGGCGAAUUACUCGACCUGAUAAAUCUCUUGUCUGAUGAAUCUUCCAUAUGUUUUUUCAGCUCAACCAUCUCUACUGGCGCUAAUCGGUAUAGAACUCGUGAAACCGGUGCUGUUCCUGACUCUAACUCGAUCGUAAGAACAUCUCCUCUAGCUGGUGACGGCCCUUCCAAAGGCCUUAAUUACAUCUCCAUACUCUGAGAUAACUAGAAGAUCCUGCAACUCAUGUUGACCAUCGAAAUGAUCACCAAAAUCCAUCUACUCCCCAUAUCCAAUAACUCCUCUGCAUGUAUAUGCAAAUAAAAUCUGCUCUACUCCAGAAAUAUGAACUCUUUCCCUCAGGCAAUCCAACAAUACUUGAUGUCGUGAUAACUAGUCCAUCCCAAGAAUGAUAUUGCUACCCAUCGGGUACACCAAGGGAUACAAAGAUAUGAAGUAUCAACUAUAAUUGGUCUAGUGUGAAGAGAGUUGUAGCUUCAUUGCAUCACAGUGUCAGACAUGUCAGAUGGCUAUGUCAGAAGAUCAAUUAUCUAUCAUGUUAUUUUUGAGCUUGCUGUUGCCGGAGUGGAAAUGAGGCAUGGUGAUUAUGGACAUUGGUAUUGGAUUUUAAAUCACCAUAUGUGGAAAGGAUGCCACAUGGGUAGUCAUGGAUAGACUUACCAAGUCAGCCCAUUUCCUAAGUAAUUAAGAAGACAUCCAUAGCUAAUCAGUUGGAGCAGACCUACAUUAUUGAGUUUGGGAGGUUUCAUGGAUGUCAACAUAGUAUCGGAUUGGUAUUCUAAGUUCACGUCUACAUUUUUGGAGUCAUUCAGAAGGAACUUGGGACAAAGAUCCACAUGAAUACAACAUAUUAUCAGCAUACAGAUGGUUAGUCAAAGAAGACUAUUCAGACUUAGAGGACAUGCUAAGGGAUUGUAUCUUACAGUGGGAUGGAAGAUCGGAAAUAAUUACAUCUAGCAGAGUUUGCCUACAUCGACAACUAUCGUUCGAACAUUGAGAUGACACCGUAUGAGCUAUUGAUGGUAGACCUUGUCGUAUACCACUUUGUUGGACCAAAGUGAGGGAGUGACAUGAGUUAGAACUAUUAAUAGUUCAAGAGAUGGUAUAGCAAAUGGACAUGUUCAAGGACUGUCUUUGGGACACCCAUGACAGCAGAUGAUUUAUGCAGCUAAGCGUCGUAAGGAUUUGGAGUUACAUAUGGGCAAUCUAGUCUACCUGAUAAUAAUGACAUUUCAGAGAGGACUUAAGGCUCAUAAGCUGAAGCAACUAAAACCGAGCUACAUUGGACUGUAUCCUCUAGUGGAGCGAAUUGGAGCAGUUGAUUGGAGUUAUUUUAUCAGCAGUGUAUCAAACUUCCAUGGCGUGAUCUAAGUGAGAUCAAAUUCAGAUGAGGAUUGACUAUCCGAAGAUUAUUUUUUUUAGGAUGGUAUUGGAUAGCCGACUCAGGAUUUGAAUUCGAGGACGAAUUCUUCGUAAUUGGGGAAUAAUUGUAACGACCCAAAUCUCGGCCCGGAAAACUUUAGCCCAGUAAGACCCAAUUACAUUGCAGAAAGACCCUAAAGUUUUCUUAUUUAAGAUGGAACUUUGUGGUGGCCUCUGACAGAGACUUUUGGGGAUGGAAAAGUCCUGCCGGAACGUCACCGAAACAGCCACAAAUAGCCACCAUGAAAGAGAAGCCAUCCCACCAUCCGAAAAGAGAGAUUAGAGCUCAGCAGACACGUUUUGGGAGAACAGAAGAACGAUCGAUCAAAUAUCAGUAUUUUGAAGCUACAUUUUGAGGUUAUGUUCUACACUCAUAGAUCAUUAUGUAUCAGAAAGCAGAUCGUCAUUUGGAAUUUUUAUCUAAGAGUUAUGGUUGUUUCUUUGGGACUGAUAUCUACAGAUCGGAUCCGCGAACAGUCAACUUCAUCAGCGUUUUACCGUUGAUACAGAAGGAACCAGGGAACGGGCGAGAUAUCAUUGGAAAGAUCUCGAUUCCAGGUUUUCAGAUCAUCUAUCCGAUCGUCAAAUCGACGUACGGGUAGAAAGUUAUUGACGUUUCUUCUUGGCGAAGAAUAAAGCUGUUGAGUUGCAGAGACAGUUCCGACCAGUGUCGGUGUAAGUGAGAAACGGUCUACAGAAACAAAAUCUUUCAGUCUGGAAAUUUGUCAGUAAGUAUUAAUUCUCUUAUCUAUCAUCUCCUGCAAGCGGAUCGUUAUUCCGAGUUAUUUUCUGAGAGUUAUGCUUGUUUUCGUGAGAGGUGUUGGUGCAGUUUUCGUUUACGACCAGCCUGGACAUGAAACUACUUUGGUUAAGCAAAUGGUGUCCGAUCGGAGUAAACAUGGUGUCUAUAGAUAGAGGACAUAGAGGACUACAUUAGGACCGGAGGGAUCGAAAAGGUAACGGUCAGUUCUUCAGUUAUUCAUCUGUUUGCUCUAUGGUUCAGUUCUGCCAGAAUACCAUAUUGAUCUAAUUUCAAAGAGUUCCGGAGUUGCUUUGUUAGAGCUGUCAAGGUCCAUUCGGCGUUUCCUCAGGUUUCUUCAGAACCUUUGGCAAAGGUGAGGGUCCAUUCCGUAAAUCUCGUACCAGUGUAGAAUUCUCUCUAUGUUAGUCUAGAUUUCGAAUCAUGGUCAGUCUGUUUGAAUUGAGUCUUGAUUGUUAGUUACUUCAUUCAUUGUAAACUGGAAUUAGGGGUCUAGAGGAUUCAACCGUUGAUUUGAUUGUGUGAUGUUAAGAGAUGCUAUAUAUAUGUAUGUAUACAUAGUUAUGAGUAGGGACUAUGUGAAUGGACGGGGGUCCAGAGAUGUCUGGACUAGCGACGCAGCUUUGGUGGGCGGGGGCUCAGAGACGUCUGGGCUAGCGACGCAUAUUGUGUGGGGCGUGGGUGCAGAGACGUUUGCAUUCGACGCAGCUUUGGAGGGCGGGGGUACAGAGACAGACUGUACUAGCGAUGCAGCGUAUGUAUAUAUAUAUAUAUAUAUAUAUAUAUAUAUAUAUCUGUAUGAGGAGAUGUGGAGUGUAUGGACUAGCUAUAUGCUAUCAUCGCAUUGCUUGUGUUUUGUGAUGCUUUAGGCGUCUUGUUUGUUCAUGUUAGAGCUAAAUUUCGAUAGUGAGAGUUCUAUUACUCAAGUCAGUGGUUUGCGUGUUUAGCAUCCCAUACCUCACGGAGUAACUCCCAUGUUACUCACCCCUCCUAUUCCUUUCCCCUUUCAGGUGAGACUGGCGAGCAGGAGUGAUUGCUAUCGUAUUGGUGCUUUGGGAGUUUUAUUUCUUUUUUUUUCAGACAUGCAGAUUUUAUGGUUUUCUCAAUAUUUUUGGAAUUUAUUAUGUUAUCUGGAUUUAUGGUUAUUUAUUGGAUUUACGACUUUGGAGUUGACUUUUGAGAAGUAAUAAAUGGAGAUUUCAGACUUAAUAUUUUUUUAAGUUAUUUUGGAAAAUACGGGUGUUACAAUUUGUGACAACCCGUCCCGUGGGAACUACCUGCCCCGUGGGCCCUAGGCUCACAGCGCUGCAGCGCACCGACCCUAAUCCCUCCAUUGUGAGUUAUCUCUAACUCCAUAAUUAGGUUGUUGGUGAACCUCGAACCCAGGACCUCACCCUUUAACAGUAUUCCCACAAGACAAAUUGUCACCAAUUGAACUGCAGAUCAAUUGGUGACAACUUGUCUUGUGGAGAGUUGUUAAAAGGUGAGGUCUUGGGUUCGAGUAACGCCAAGCGCAUCAAUAACCUACCGGUAGAUGUGGAGUCAGUUCCUCCCACGGUGAGGGGUUAGGGUCGGUGCGCUACAGGUUGUCACAACAUACAAUGGAGAAGUCCCUAAAUCUCCGUAAACUAUGCCUAGAAUUUGGAAUGAUAGUCUCAGUAACAUCCACAUUGACAAGCCCUGAUGACAAGUCGUAUUAAAAAAAAUCCAAAUUUCUUGAAACUGAAACAGAUUAAAACAGAGAAAGUCGUUACCUUUUCUCUGUACAUGUCCUCUGAACCUGACCAUCCCUUCCUGAAUAUGUUCAAGCUCUUAUCCUCUAUUGUUGUAAAGCUUUUGAUUCCCAUUGCAGCUUUGUUAUUUAAUUUUAUGUUAAGCUCUUAACGGAACCUGACCUCAUUAACCAUAGAUACUGCAAUGGAAACAACAACAUCAAAAUAAAAAUCUCACCAACUUAAAUCAGAUGCUUAACAUAAAAUUACCGGCUUUAGGAUUGAGUUUGGUGAAGUGGAAGAACUCAUCAGCUGAGCAAGCUCUGUACCAAUAGUCGCUGAGGUCGACGGCAAGCAAUUGUCUGAGUUUAAUCCUUCCCUGAAUCUUUGCUUUUUCUUGAAGCCUUCUUCCCUUCUGAUCUUCAUCAUAGCCUCAUAAGGAGAUUUUGCCUAACCCAAAAGGAUCAUAUGAGAUUGAGAGAAGAGACAGAGUGAUCGAGAAUGGAGGGGGAAGAGAAACUGAUUUCUUUCGCACAAACGCCGGAGAAGGAGAGAGAGAGAUACAUUAAGCGGGUCCAAUAGAAAACCGCCACGUAAGGGCUUCUUACUAAUUCUAAGAGCAGCCACAUUGAGAGUUGUAAAGGGGUUCAUGGGCUCGGGUUCAUAGGCCCGAAAGCAAAAAAAAAAAGAGAAAAUGGGUUUAAUUCCGCGACCCGCGUCUUACGAGUGACCCCGUAUGAUACGGGUUCACGCCAGGUGUCAGCCAUCCAUUGGAGACGCGUUAUUGAGUUCACGAGGAGGAAAGCGGAGAGAAAUCAUUUUCUCUCAUUUCUGAAAAAAACUAGGGUUUCAGUUCGAGAGGCGAUUUCUCGUGCGACGCCGACCUUUCUCCAAUUUUCUCCUUCGAAUCGACGACGGAGUGUCUCAUCCACGAGCUCAGGUGAGUAUCGAGUGGAUUCACGGUUAGAUAGAAGCUUUUUUGGGUCGAAAUCGAUCUCGGGAAUUCGAAAUAUUGAUUUAUUAGGGUUAAAAAUCGAUUUUGGGGGUUCAAAAUCGGUUUCUCGGUGAUUGGAAAUCGAAUUGGAGUUUUUGAGUUAGGGUUCAAAAUCGAUUUUGGGGGUUUUCGAUUAGUGGUUUUAAAACGUCAUGUGGGUUCGAUUUAUCGAUUUAUGGUUGGUUUCUCAGUGAUUGAAAAUCGAAUUGGGGUUUUCGAGUUAGGGUUCAAAAUCGAUUUUGGGGGUUUUCGAUUAGUGGUUUUAAGACGUCAUGUGGGUUCGAUUUAGUGUUGAUUUCAUCAUAUUUUUCGUGAUUAUGUUGUAAUCAGUUUGCUUCUCUGGUUCAGAUGGAUCCCGCAGAAGAGAGAAGAGAUAGAAAGAGGCAACAGGAGUACUUCAACAUGUUGGGAAACGUGGCUGAUUCACAAUACAGGAUUCCCAGAAGAUUUCCCUGUGGUGGGAGAAUCAUUGACGAGGUUCGGGUGAAGGAGGAGUACGACACUCUUCCUGGGAAGCGUUUCUUCACCUGCAUAAACUACGAGGUAAGAGAUACAAACCGCUUCUUCCAUGCAUUACUCUCACUUGGCAAAUUAGUAUAAAUUUUAUUUUAGUUGUACGAGUCUGAUGUGUUUAUGUUAUCAACAAGGCUGAUGGGUUUCAUUAUCGUCAGCCUUGGGUGAUAGGUGUCCAGGAGGAGAUGGAACGCCUGCGUAAGCGUGUGGAGGAGGCUGAGCAGGUGAUCAAGUGGGUGCCCAAUCUCAAUAAACAGAUUGAGAGUGUUGAGGUUAGUGAAGUUUUUUUGAGAGUAUCGAAUAGCAAGUUAAUAAUUGUAAAGUUAGGUUUUUUUUAAGUUACUAACAACGUUUCUUUUUUUCCAUGUGCAGGCACAGGUUAAAAGGCUCACUUUGCUGUUUGAUAACCUCACUAGUGACGUUUAUAACCUCACUGUGCAGGUGGAUGAUCUUGAAAAGGUCUGCUUCGAAUGAAAUCCUAAAGGUCACGGGUUCUACUUCUCUACUGGUGCAGCACGUUCUAUUUUGUAGUUGAUGGGUUCUAGUUGUCACGGGUAGUAGGUGCCACAGGUUAUCAGUUUAUGUAUUUUCAUUUCGCGGCAGGUCACGGGUUCUAGUAGGAGGAUGGUGAAGUUGUCACGGGUUGUAGUAGUGACAACACGUUUUCAAGUACGUUUGCUUAUGCAUGUUUGUGUCACGGGUGUAAAAGUGUAGUAUUUUGUUUGUUUCUACGCUUCACGGGUAUUGUAAGAGGAAGGACUAUAAAAUGUAUGUCGUAUGUCUCAUUUAUCAAUUGUCUCUCAUCUUUGUUUAAGUUGUUCCUCUAUUCUUUAAAUUUGUAUCUCAACCUGCAAAAAAAAAACAAUAAUCCAUCAAGGCCACUCCAUCAAGGCCACGGCAUCAAAACACUACCCCUUCUAUAAACUUGUUCCUCUCUGUUCUUUAAGUUCUUCCCCUCUCUUCUAAAAACUUGUAUCUCAAGUUUCAUAUACCACAAAACACUCCCUCCUUGGUCUAUCUCUCCCUUAAUUUUCUUUUAAACACUUAGCCAAAUCUUCUUCUUCUAUCACUUUUUUUUUAAAACACUUAACAAAAUUUCCAAAAUAAAAAAAUGUCAUCCUCAUCGUCAGAUGGCGUAGAUGAAGCUGUUGAAGAAAUGUUCGACCAAGAAUUUGAUAAUAUCAUUGACUCCCUAGUUGAUGUUCAAGCCAACAAACCGAAGAGACGAGCUUAUAUCGAAAGAGAUCGGGAACAAAGCCACAAUCAACUAUGGAACGACUAUUUCAAGGAACAUCCUACAUACCCACCGGACAUGUUUAGGUGGCGUUUUCGAAUGAACAAGCCUUUAUUCCUUCGCAUUGUCGAUCGCCUCAAUAAUGAAGUUCCAUACUUUGAGCAAAGAAAAAAUGCUCACGGCAGGUACAGGCUAUCUGCACUUCAAAAGUGUACAGCAGCUAUCUGAAUCCUGGCAUAUGGUCAAUCGGGAGAUACAUAUGACGAAUAUCUCCGACUAGGUGAAAGUACUGCACUUUUAUGUUUGGAAAAUUUCACUAAUGGGUUAAUACAAUUGUUUGGAGAUGCGUAUCUAAGAAGACCUAUAGCGGAUGAUCUUCGACGAUUACUCGACAAUGGAGAGGCACGCGGGUUUCUGGGGAUGAUAGGCAGCAUCGGCUGUAUGCAUUGGGAGUGGAAAAACUGCCCAACCGCUUGGAGAGGCCAGUACACCCGUGGUACAGGAAAGCCGACAAUUGUCUUAGAGGCUGUGGCAUCACAUGAUCUUUGGAUAUGACACUCAUUUUUCGGAUUAUCAGGUACCCUCAAUGAUAUAAAUGUUCUUGAUCGGUCACCAGUUUUUGAUGACAUUUUACAAGGUCGAGCUCCUCGAGUUAAUUUCAAGGUCAACAACCACAAAUAUCAUAUGGCGUACUACCUUACGGACGGAAUUUAUCUGAAUUGGUCAACAUUUAUCCAAUCCAUCCCACUUCCUCAAGGUCCUAAAGCAGAGCUAUUUGCUCGACGUUAAGAAUCCGUCAGAAAAGAUGUCGAACAUGCUUUUGGAGUAUUGCAAGCGAGGUUUGCAAUAGUUCAAAACCCAGCUCUACUAUGGGAUAAGGAAAAGAUAGGAAAGAUUAUGAAAACUUGUGUCAUACUCCACAAUAUGAUAGUAGAGAACGAACGCGACAGAUACACUCAGUAUGAUACAUCUGACUUCGAAGCAGGAGAGUCAAGCGGAAGUUCCAAGGUUAAAAGGAGAAAAAGUUUGAAUAUCCCUAUGCUUGACAUUCGCAAUCAAAUUCGGGAUCCACAGAUACAUGAUCGUUUGAAAUCUGAUUUAGUUGAAAAUGUAUGGGAAAAAUAUGGUAAUCAUGAUGAAUAAUCUUUGUAUGUUUAUGAAUUCUCAUUACAUUAAAUAAAAACUUUUAAAAAAUAUUUUAAUUUUUUUUUAUUCCUAUGAACCCUUCUUCAGGUUUACUAAUGCAAGAGCAAAAAUUAUACAGGUUCAA